GAUGAACGCUAGCUACAGGCUUAACACAUGCAAGUCGAGGGGUAACGAGAGGAAAGCUUGCUUUCCUUGUCGACGACCGGCGCACGGGUGAGUAACGAGUAUCCAACCUGCCCCCAACUAAGGAAUAACCUUGCGAAAGUAAGACUAAUACCUUAUAAUUUCCUUAGAUGUCAUCUGACGAGGAAUAAAGAUUUAUCGGUUGUGGAUGGGGAUGCGUCUGAUUAGCUUGUUGGCGGGGUAACGGCCCACCAAGGCAACGAUCAGUAGGGGUUCUGAGAGGAAGGUCCCCCACAUUGGAGCUGAGACACGGUCCAAACUCCUACGGGAGGCAGCAGUGAGGAAUAUUGGUCAAUGGGCGGAAGCCUGAACCAGCCAAGUAGCGUGCAGGAUGACGGCCCUAUGGGUUGUAAACUGCUUUUAUACAGGAAUAAAGUUAGCCACGUGUGGUUAUUUGUAGGUACUGUAUGAAUAAGGACCGGCUAAUUCCGUGCCAGCCGCCGCGGUAA
This 506-nucleotide ribosomal RNA is filed under the name uncultured bacterium. Its description in RNAcentral is "partial 16S ribosomal RNA". It matches the Rfam family "Bacterial small subunit ribosomal RNA", at positions 28 to 523 of the family's 1533-position model. The record is from RNAcentral.